ACACCUUCUUAGAGACAUUGAGAUUCCUGACUUGGGGUUACCAAUGCCUUGUGGCCUCAGCUGAUAGAAUGGACAAAGUAGAAUGCUCACUCUAGAAAUCCAUGGGUGGAGUCGCCAGACCUCAUCUGGAGUUGGUAUCUGGGAGAGCCAGGAGCGUUAUUACGAGCUGGUGUAGACCAGACAACCUGAAGACUGGUUGGAGUGGCAGAUGAAAGCCUGGGAGGCAGCACGCCAUCUGGAGCUGUCGAAAAACACAGAUGAAUUAGAGCAGAGAAAACUGUGGAGAACAUAUGCUGGAUGGAAUCGAAAUGCUCCAUAUACUGGAAAAACUGUUCCUCAGGAUCAACAACAAUGUUAAACAUGGUCCAUUUAAUUUAACAUUUUCAUUCCUGAACUCCUGUACUUCCUUAUUGUUCAUUUCAACACAAUUACAUUAGUAUUUCAGUCUUAAAAGCCGGCCCCCAAACAGCAAGACAAAUGAAUAUGCAGCACAUUCCCACCUGUACUUCUGUUUAUCUAAUUGAAAACAUGGAGGGAAUUUAGUGAAGCAAAUAUUAAAGUACCUUUUUCAUUUAACUCUUUGUUCAACAGACCAAACAAUUGAACACUGAAGCAGUCCAGAUCUCAUAUUCUUCCCCCCGAUAUCAUCCAUUGCUGCCUUAAUCACACCACUACAUGUGAACACAAUGGCUUUCUUUUCCUUUCUUUUUUUUUUUGGAGGAAGGGAAGUUAGCUAAAAUUGUAUUUUUCUGGAAUGAUAAAUAAACAUGAAUGGCUGAAUACAGUGUAUUCCAGCCUUA
Homo sapiens (human) is the source of this 800-nucleotide long non-coding RNA. The record is from Ensembl. Lineage: Eukaryota; Metazoa; Chordata; Mammalia; Primates; Hominidae.